GACGAACGCUGGCGGCGUGCCUAAUACAUGCAAGUUGAGCGCUGAAGGUUGGUACUUGUCCCAACUGGCUGAGCAGCGAACGGGUGAGUAACGCGUGGGGAAUCUGCCUUUGAGCGGGGGACAACAUUUGGAAACGAAUGCUAAUACCGCAUAAAAACUUUAAACACAAGUUUUAAGUUUGAAAGAUGCAAUUGCAUCACUCAAAGAUGAUCCCGCGUUGUAUUAGCUAGUUGGUGAGGUAAAGGCUCACCAAGGCGAUGAUACAUAGCCGACCUGAGAGGGUGAUCGGCCACAUUGGGACUGAUACACGGCCCAAACUCCUACGGGAGGCAGCAGUAGGGAAUCUUCGGCAAUGGACGAAAGUCUGACCGAGCAACGCCGCGUGAGUGAAGAAGGUUUUCGGAUCGUAAAACUCUGUUGGUAGAGAAGAACGUGGGUGAGAGUGGAAAGCUCAUCAAGUGACGGUAACUACCCAGAAAGGGACGGCUAACUACGU
RNAcentral lists this ribosomal RNA (496 nucleotides) under uncultured bacterium. Its description in RNAcentral is "partial 16S ribosomal RNA". It matches the Rfam family "Bacterial small subunit ribosomal RNA", at positions 28 to 506 of the family's 1533-position model. The record is from RNAcentral.